GAUGAACGCUGGCGGCGUGCCUAAUACAUGCAAGUCGAGCGAACAGACGAGGAGCUUGCUCCUCUGACGUUAGCGGCGGACGGGUGAGUAACACGUGGAUAACCUACCUAUAAGACUGGGAUAACUUCGGGAAACCGGAGCUAAUACCGGAUAACAUGUUGAACCGCAUGGUUCAACAGUGAAAGACGGUCUUGCUGUCACUUAUAGAUGGAUCCGCGCCGCAUUAGCUAGUUGGUAAGGUAACGGCUUACCAAGGCAACGAUGCGUAGCUGACCUGAGAGGGUGAUCGGCCACACUGGAACUGAGACACGGUCCAGACUCCUACGGGAGGCAGCAGUAGGGAAUCUUCCGCAAUGGGCGAAAUCCUGACGGAGCAACGCCGCGUGAGUGAAGAAGGUCUUCGGAUCGUAAAACUCUGUUAUUAGGGAAGAACAAAUGUGUAAGUAACUAUGCACGUCUUGACGGUACCUAAUCAGAAAGCCACGGCUAACUACGUG
Molecule: ribosomal RNA, 497 nt
Filed under: uncultured bacterium
Lineage: Bacteria
Description: partial 16S ribosomal RNA
Rfam family: Bacterial small subunit ribosomal RNA
Source: RNAcentral